AGCCGUCAGGAAUCCAAGUUUGCACGCGAGCGCGUCCUAGCGAGCCAUGUCGGGCCCACCAAUCAGAGAAAACAACGGUAACUCCUCUUCCUUCUCUCUCACUUCCGUCUUUGAUAUUACUACCCUGCCAUAAAAAAGUAAACUAGUGUGCGUGAAUCCAUGUACAACCCAGAGAUGAUGCCAUCCUUAUAGCUCUACAUAAGCAAAUCAACAUGAACACUGAUUAAUGAAGAGGGAGAGGGGAAUCGUCGUCUGGUGAGACGACGGCAUGCCGCAUGCAGGCGCUCCUGCUCCGAGAAGCAAUAUGCAUCCUCUCGUCCCGGCAACAGCGCUGCCUGAUCUGUGAUCUACUGCGGCUAUGCUUCUUUUGGCGGGGAAAAUCAGCAAAGGCGGAGUAGCCUAC
RNAcentral lists this long non-coding RNA (403 nucleotides) under Setaria italica (foxtail millet). Its description in RNAcentral is "long non-coding RNA (SITA_LNC005148)". Lineage: Eukaryota; Viridiplantae; Streptophyta; Magnoliopsida; Poales; Poaceae. The record is from RNAcentral.